Molecule: unclassified non-coding RNA, 3625 nt
Filed under: Centruroides sculpturatus (bark scorpion)
Lineage: Eukaryota; Metazoa; Arthropoda; Arachnida; Scorpiones; Buthidae
Description: catenin delta-2-like, transcript variant X6
Source: RNAcentral
AAUAAAUGUAAUAAACAGUAAUUGAUUUUAAUGUUUUUUCAAAUUUAAGAUGAAAAAAUUGAUGCAUAUCUAAACAUUAUAGUGCACUUGCUAAACAUCAUAUAUUAUGAUUUUAUUAAGCUGAUGAUUUUUUGCACAAUGUUUGCUAAAAGUAGAAAGCUUUAUUUCAUAAAGAUCUUUUAUUCAUUAUAUAAAAUUUAUGAAAAUUAAUUUGGUAGUUGGAAUGCUGCAGUUUGCAAAGUAUAGAUUAAGUAGUAUUAUAUUUUAUCAUAUAUUUGCAGUACAAAAAUUAAUUUGCUGCCUUUAGUUCAUUUCAAUUUGUUAUUAGUAGUUGAAUGAUGAUUGCACCAGAUAAUAGUGUAAGGAGCAAAGCAGAUUUGACUUUGUUCAUUUGCAGAUUUCUUAUUUCUUUUAUUUAGGCGAUACUAUUCAGAUCGUGGUUCAGAAAUAAUCCAUCAUUACAUUCCAUAUACAGAUGCAUAUUAUAGUCAGGAAGGAAUUCAGCCUCCUACACAAGAGACUUAUGGUGUUGGCUACCAGCCAACUGCCACACCCACCAAUGGUCACCAUGGAGAUGGCAACAUCUCUCCUACAUCUUCCCAGUUGUCAGUGCCAGGCGAAAAUGCCACAUUGAUCAAUCGCACCACCCCACAGCCAAAAACACAGCAGCCAAUGAAGACAGUUCCAAAAAUUAUUCCACCUCGCCAUAUUGGCCCCGAAGGACAAGCUGUUGAAUAUCCUCCUUAUAGUGCUGCUCCACCUUUACCACCUUCCACAAGCAGUGGAUAUGGUACUUAUGGUUACACUGUUCCUGCAAAUGUUCCACAUGACUACAAUACUUAUAAUUCAGGUGUAGGAGGACAACCCCCACCUCCUCCUCCUCAAGGAAUCUAUCCACCAGAUUAUAGUACAUAUGGUAGAACAACUUCACCUAGUGCAAGACCAAACUUUGAAGUUUAUCCUCCAAGAAUAGGACAAACUUUUCCUGAUUAUGAUUAUCAUGGUUAUCCAGCACAACCUCCAUCACCACCCUCAGCAUCAUCAGAAUCUCCCCAACCACGUCGAGCUAUGCCACAAGUACCUAGGAGUGGAGAAACAGAAUACAAUCAUCGGCCAGCUGGUUAUGAUGAAUUAGAUCCAACUCUUGUCCCAUCUAGGCCUGAAUAUCAAGAAAGGUUUCCAAGUACUCCUUCUCCUGGUCCUGUUUCUGAUAGAUUUGGUCCCUAUGGAUAUUCUGGUACUCAGAUUCCUGCAACUUCUCCUGGUUAUGCUCCAUAUGAAGCUCCACCACCUCAGGGGUAUCUAGAUCGCCGCCCAAGUUAUGAUGAUCAUCCACAAAGUCAAGUACCUCAUAUUAGACCUCCCACAUCUUACACCCAUCCUUCAAGAGUUGCUGAAGAAAAUGCUGGCUUGCCACUUCCAUCAAUGGACAGACAGUAUCCUCCACCACCUCGGCAUCCUCAUUUAGAAAAUGAAAGUAUUGAUGGAGAAGGAAGAGAUGUAAGGUGGAGAGAUCCAGAUUUACAUGAGGUAAUAGAGUUCCUAGGCCAUCCAAAUAAUGUUGUUCGGGCAAAUGCUGCAGCAUAUCUCCAGCAUUUAUGUUAUAUGGAUGAUAAUAUUAAACAAAAAACUAGAGUCCUUGGAGGCAUUCCACAAUUAGUUGAUUUGCUCAAUCAAGAAAUACCUGAAAUUCAAAGAAAUGCAUGUGGAGCUCUUAGAAACUUGUCUUUUGGGCGACAGAACGAAGAAAAUAAGAGAGCAAUACGUAAUGCUGGAGGCAUUCCUACACUUGUCCAACUUCUCAGGAAAACACCUGAUAAUGAAAUAAGAGAGUUAGUAACUGGAAUUUUAUGGAAUUUAUCAUCAUCAGAGGAACUCAAAAAGCCCAUAAUUGAUGAUGCUCUCACGGUAUUAGUUAAUCACGUCAUAAUUCCUCAUUCUGGGUGGGAUCGUAACAGAGAUCCUUCAGAUCAAAUCAAAACACAAGAAAUUUAUUGGUCAACUGUAUUUAGAAAUGCUAGUGGAGUUUUGAGGAAUGUAAGUUCUGCUGGUGAAUAUGCACGUAAAAAAUUAAGAGAAUGUGAAGGUCUUGUAGAUUCUUUACUUCAUAUUGUUCGUGCUGCUAUAGGCAAAAAUGAUAUGGAUAAUAAAAGUGUAGAAAAUUGUGUUUGUAUACUAAGAAAUUUAUCAUACCGAUGUCAAGAAGUAGAAGAUCCAGAUUAUGACAAACACAUUAUAUCACCUCCACAAACUCGUGCAAUGGUGCCAAUUAAUAAAGUGUUUUCACCGAAUAUUAUUUCUAAAAUACAAGUGGGAGAAAAUUUAGGUUGUUUUGGCACAAGUAAGAAGAAAAAAGAAGCUCAAAGUGCAGAGAAGCAAAAGAGAGAUGGUAUUGUCACAAGUGGAAGUUCUAGACCAAGAUCAGAACCAGUGAAAGGAAUGGAUUUAUUAUGGCAGCCAGAAGUUGUUCAACCUUAUUUAGCCUUAUUAUCAGAAUGUUCUAAUCCUGAAACGUUAGAAGCUGCUGCUGGAGGUAUUCAGAAUUUAGCUGCUUGUUAUUGGCAGCCUAGUAUUGAUAUAAGAGCAGCAGUAAGAAAAGAGAAAGGAUUGCCUAUAUUAGUAGAAUUAUUAAGAAUGGAAGUUGAUAGAGUUGUUUGUGCUGUAGCUACUGCAUUAAGAAAUUUAGCAAUGGAUCAACGCAAUAAAGAACUUAUAGGCAAAUAUGCUAUUAGGGAUCUUGUACAAAAACUUCCUCCAGGAAACCCACAACAUGAUGCUGGAACUUCUGAUGAUACAAUUGCAGCUGUACUUGCCACUUUAAAUGAAGUCAUUGUUAAAAAUAGUGAUUUUUCACGUUCCUUAUUGGAAUGGGGAGGUGUCGAACGAUUAACUUACAUUACUAAACAGAAAGGAAAAUUUUCUUCCAGAGUAGUGAAAUUUACCUCUCAGCUUUUGUUUAAUAUGUGGCAACAUCAAGAACUUAGGGAAGUUUAUAAAAAAGCAGGAUGGAAAGAGGGUCAUUUUAUUACUAGAACAAUGAUUGCUCGAAUUACGGCUUCUCCUCCUGCAAGUGCCAACAAUACACUAAGUCGACCAAUUAGUACUCAAGGUGGAACAAAUUACGAGGACAGAACAUUAUCUAGAGGAAGGGAAUUAAAUACUGUUGCUCCAGGACAAGUUCCAUACAGUCGUUCUGAAGAACUUGCUAUGAAUGAUCUCGCUCACAUGCCAGAACCACCACAGUCUCAAACACAACCACAACUACAGCCACCGCAACCACAACCACAACCACAGCCACAAUCACAACCUCAAAUGCAAUCUCAAACUAUUAAACCACCUGUAGGUGGUGUUCCAAUUUUUCCUCCCACAUUGCCACCACCUCAGGGUUUCUAGCCUGUAGUCCAACAAAUGGCCUGAUGGGUGGGUGUCAAUAGUACAGAAAUGAAUUAUUCUGUAUAUUUUGAUAGGAUAGACUCGUGAUUAUAAAUAGAUAAGUUCAUCCUCAUCACGAACCCCUCUAUGCCCAGGUGAAUCGAGAUAAAAAGAAACGUCAUCCUGACAUGUCUUCCCAGCCUUUGUUACUCGAUCAUCAAGUGGAUGCCCAAGGUGGUGAUUCCUGGGUCUG